This 454-nucleotide unclassified non-coding RNA is filed under the name Hevea brasiliensis (rubber tree). The record is from RNAcentral. Lineage: Eukaryota; Viridiplantae; Streptophyta; Magnoliopsida; Malpighiales; Euphorbiaceae.
UCUUCUUCCUUCCUAAAUUCUUCUUCUCUGUUAGGGUUUCAAUCAUAACAUUUGGUAGCAGAGAGGGCAAAUUGAGUGGGUAAUUCAUUUUUGUGGAUUGCAACAAUGACUAGAUCUGUUGUAGUUGGUCUUGAGAUGGUUAAGUUGGCAGAAUCGGAGAAGAAGAUAAGAAGUUUCUUGGAUUAGAUGGAGAAAAUGCAGGAGAAAAUUAAUCAGUCAGCUAGGGAUGAUGAUGCAUUGUGAGGGGAUAUUAGAGCCUUUAUGAGCAAAUUGAGUAAGGAUAAGGGAAUAUGAGAUGUUGCUGGAGGAGAUGGUGCUGGAUCUGGAAUUAAAGAAGUGGAGAGCAGGGACUGUUACUUACUCCUCCGUUUAAUCAGCAGUUGAAGGAUCAAGGAAGUUUGGAAAUUGCUAUAACAAUGAAGGAAUGAAUCCUUUCUUGCCUAAAAUUGAAUUA